CGACCUACCCCGAGACCCACAGCAGGAGCAUUCAUGUUAUGGUCCCUGUCAGAUUCCUUGAAUCUGUGAAUUCAGCU
This 77-nucleotide ribozyme is filed under the name Crocodylus porosus (Australian saltwater crocodile). RNAcentral's name for it is "Mammalian CPEB3 ribozyme (ENSCPRG00005016914.1)". It matches the Rfam family "Mammalian CPEB3 ribozyme". From Rfam's summary of the family: The mammalian CPEB3 ribozyme is a self cleaving RNA located in the second intron of the CPEB3 gene which belongs to a family of genes regulating messenger RNA polyadenylation. This ribozyme is highly conserved and found only in mammals. Lineage: Eukaryota; Metazoa; Chordata; Crocodylia; Crocodylidae. The record is from Rfam by way of RNAcentral.